GAUGAACGCUGGCGGCGUGCCUAAUACAUGCAAGUCGAGCGAACGGAUGAGAAGCUUGCUUCUCUGAUGUUAGCGGCGGACGGGUGAGUAACACGUGGAUAACCUACCUAUAAGACUGGGAUAACUUCGGGAAACCGGAGCUAAUACCGGAUAAUGUUUUGAACCGCAUGGUUCAAAAGUGAAAGACGGUCUUGCUGUCACUUAUAGAUGGAUCCGCGCUGCAUUAGCUAGUUGGUAAGGUAACGGCUUACCAAGGCAACGAUGCAUAGCCGACCUGAGAGGGUGAUCGGCCACACUGGAACUGAGACACGGUCCAGACUCCUACGGGAGGCAGCAGUAGGGAAUCUUCCGCAAAGGGCGAAAGCCUGACGGAGCAACGCCGCGUGAGUGAUGAAGGUCUUCGGAUCGUAAAACUCUGUUAUUAGGGAAGAACAUAUGUGUAAGUAACUGUGCACAUCUUGACGGUACCUAAUCAGAAAGCCACGGCUAACUACGUG
RNAcentral lists this ribosomal RNA (497 nucleotides) under uncultured bacterium. Its description in RNAcentral is "partial 16S ribosomal RNA". It matches the Rfam family "Bacterial small subunit ribosomal RNA", at positions 28 to 507 of the family's 1533-position model. The record is from RNAcentral.